RNAcentral lists this ribosomal RNA (460 nucleotides) under uncultured bacterium. RNAcentral's name for it is "partial 16S ribosomal RNA". It matches the Rfam family "Bacterial small subunit ribosomal RNA", at positions 338 to 795 of the family's 1533-position model. The record is from RNAcentral.
CCUACGGGUGGCAGCAGUGAGGAAUAUUGGUCAAUGGGCUUACGCCUGAACCAGCCAAGUCGCGUGAGGGAAGACUGCCCUAUGGGUUGUAAACCUCUUUUGUCAGGGAGCAACGCCGGCUACGUGUAGCCGGACUGAGAGUACCUGAAGAAAAAGCAUCGGCUAACUCCGUGCCAGCAGCCGCGGUAAUACGGAGGAUGCGAGCGUUAUCCGGAUUUAUUGGGUUUAAAGGGUGCGUAGGCGGAAUGCCAAGUCAGCGGUAAAAUCGCGGGGCUAAACCUCGCACCGCCGUUGAAACUGGCGUUCUUGAGUGCUGGAGAGGAAAUCGGAAUUCCGGGGGUAGCGGUGAAAUGCGUAGAUAUACGGAGGAACACCAGUGGCGAAGGCGGAUUGCUGGACAGUAACUGACGCUGAGGCGCGAAAGCGUGGGGAGCAAACAGGAUUAGAUACCCGAGUAGUC